CAUUUUUGCUCUAGACAUAUGGUAAACAACACGAUAGAUGUAAUAAAUAUAAAAUAUGGAGUCAUGCUGUAUAUUUGGUUUUGUAAGGCCCUUGUGUUUUAAUAGCUUUCUCUCCCACUACAGAAAGAGGAUGGGCUGAUUAUAGACUUCUGGAAAGUAAGGCAAAUGUAAAGGAAAGCAGUUCACCCAAACUCCCAGGCCCUGAAGCCAGCCUCAUUUGAUUCUUCUCUGCCCUGUCCUGGGGUCUUUUGUUAAAGGGUGCUGCCUUCUUCCUCCGUGAGCCAUCUGAUGUCUUGCUUCUCUCCCUUCCUGUGUGAAGCCUGCUCCUUUUCCCUGAGUCUGUGAGUCUGGAGAGAACUGGAACCGGAUCUUGGGAGCUUCAGAGAGGAGUCGGACUGGAUGGCUGCUUCCUGACUUGGUUGGACCUCUCCCCAUCUGCCAACCCCAGGAACCCUUGCCCUGACUCCUUAAUUGGCAGUCUGGGCAGGGGCCACCGAGCCCAGCCAGUGCCACCCAGCCUGUGCAGAGCUGUUGAAGACUUGUUGCCCCUGAGGAGACCAGGCUCCAGCAGCAAGGCCACACCAAGGUCCCAGACCUCAGUCACAUCUGGGUCCCCCUUGCCCAGCCACAUGCAGACUUAGCCCGUGGUUGGCCCUGGGGCCCCCUUCUGCUCCCACUGUAUGUUCUAGGAGCAGGUUUCUGCUGCCCUGGGCUGCUUGGCCUCCCCUUAGGGGCCUGUGGGCCUGGCACCAGGCGCAGCCUCCCUCAGCUCAGCUGCCUCUUGAACUCCAAGCUGCCCUGGCCCUACCCAUCCCCUCUACCAGCCUUCUUUCUCCAUUCCUAAGCAGUUCAGUUCUGACGCAUCCCAUCCCUGCGUGAAACAGACCUUGGAAAAUCAGAGCUGCCAAGGAUGGACUGGCAUUUAAAAGGCAUCCAAGACUUGAGAGGAAGGCGGAAGAGGGGAGAGAGUGCAGGGCCCUGUCCCUGGACAGCAGCUGGAUUUAGUGGAUGGAAAAUCACAGAAUGCACCCUUCCCUGGGAAGCACCCCGGGAAGAGGGGGGCAAGUGGGGUACCAGGCAGCAUGCCCCACUGGCCACCACCCGCAGUCACCACCACAUGCUCCCAAAGUGAAAAGAUGUGUGAGGGCCGUCGGGAGUCUGCAGCCGACAGCCUUGUAAAUUGUGUUCUCUUAGCAGGUUUAUUCGUUUAUGAAAUAUUGAAGCCCCAUUUCGCUUUAC
This 1239-nucleotide long non-coding RNA is filed under the name Capra hircus (goat). Its description in RNAcentral is "lncRNA (ENSCHIG00010021771.1)". The record is from RNAcentral. Lineage: Eukaryota; Metazoa; Chordata; Mammalia; Artiodactyla; Bovidae.